This 511-nucleotide ribosomal RNA is filed under the name Bacillus anthracis (anthrax bacterium). RNAcentral's name for it is "bacterial SSU rRNA". It matches the Rfam family "Bacterial small subunit ribosomal RNA", at positions 57 to 549 of the family's 1533-position model. Lineage: Bacteria; Bacillati; Bacillota; Bacilli; Caryophanales; Bacillaceae. The record is from RNAcentral.
GCAGUCGAGCGAAUGGAUUAAGAGCUUGCUCUUAUGAAGUUAGCGGCGGACGGGUGAGUAACACGUGGGUAACCUGCCCAUAAGACUGGGAUAACUCCGGGAAACCGGGGCUAAUACCGGAUAACAUUUUGAACCGCAUGGUUCGAAAUUGAAAGGCGGCUUCGGCUGUCACUUAUGGAUGGACCCGCGUCGCAUUAGCUAGUUGGUGAGGUAACGGCUCACCAAGGCAACGAUGCGUAGCCGACCUGAGAGGGUGAUCGGCCACACUGGGACUGAGACACGGCCCAGACUCCUACGGGAGGCAGCAGUAGGGAAUCUUCCGCAAUGGACGAAAGUCUGACGGAGCAACGCCGCGUGAGUGAUGAAGGCUUUCGGGUCGUAAAACUCUGUUGUUAGGGAAGAACAAGUGCUAGUUGAAUAAGCUGGCACCUUGACGGUACCUAACCAGAAAGCCACGGCUAACUACGUGCCAGCAGCCGCGGUAAUACGUAGGUGGCAAGCGUUAUCCGGA